Molecule: ribosomal RNA, 265 nt
Filed under: uncultured bacterium
Lineage: Bacteria
Description: partial 16S ribosomal RNA
Rfam family: Bacterial small subunit ribosomal RNA
Source: RNAcentral
CGGAGGGGCGUAGCGUUGUUCGGAAUUACUGGGGCGUAAAAGCGCACGUAGGCGGACUGGAAAGUCAGAGGUGAAAUACCCACGGGGCGUCAAACCUUGGAACUGCCUUUGAAACUAAUCAGUCUGGAGUUCGAGAGAGGUGGAGUGGAAUUCCGAGUGUAGAGGUGAAAUUACGUAGAUAUUCGGAGGAACACCAGUGGCGAAGGCGGCUCACUGGCUCGAUACUGACGCUGAGGUGCGAAAGCGUGGGGAGGCAAACAGGAUU